AUUUCAGUAACAUUGGAAUACGGAUCACAUAUUGACUUUGCAACUUGCCAUUUUGAAUAAAACCUAGUAAAAACUGAAGUAAGUCCUCAUCAUGAUUCUUUAUAUUUUACAGACAUUUCACAGUCCAGAGCAGCAGGUCCCACACAGCCUCAUCUCAGCGUUUUCCCGCAAACCAUGCAAGGCGACAGGAAGAGGUCCUUCAAAAGCGAGUGGUACAAACCAUACCCAUGGCUUGAGUACUCACAAAGUCAAAACUCUUCGUACUGUUUUGCAUGCAGACAUUUUUCUUUGCCAAACACCCAGGCAUCUGCAUUUACAUCAUCUCUGGGAUUCUCUCAUUGGAAAAAGGCAAUGUUUAAAGAUGGUGGAUUCAAAGGACAUGAAAAGUCAGAGGGUCAUGUCAAUGCCAUGUUUGCAUGGGGUGAGCACAAGAAGGCAGCCCUAACAGAUACUUCCAUACGUGAUGUCCUUAAUGAAGCAUAUAACCAGAAAGUACAUGAGAAUCGAAAAUAUAAUGAAACAGUGGCUGAAGUACUCCUUUUGACUGCAACACAAAACAUUGCACGAGGUCACCGUGAAACAGAGGAGGCAGCAAACAGAGGGAACUUCUUAGAAAUAUUAGAAAUGAUUGCAAAGCAUGACCCAGUGGUAGAGAAAAAAAUGAAAGGAAAGCAGAAUGCAAAGUACACAAGCAGUGUGAUACAAAAUGAAAUCUUGGAUUGCUUAGCAAACAUGGUUCACGAGGAGAUCAUUCAGGAAGUGAAGGAAAGUGAAGUUUUCUCUGUUACUGCUGAUUAAACCAAAGACUUGAAAAAAAGGAGCAGCUCUCACUGGUACUUCGGUACUAUUAUAACGGGGCAGUGCACGAAAGUUUUCUCGAGUUUCAACAAGCCACGCAAUUAGAUGCAGAGGGACUCAAGGACAAAAUCAUCCACUGCCUGGAGAGAUAUGGACUUGAGUACAGAUCCAAUCUUGUUGGACAAGGCUAUGCUGGAGCGUCCGUUAUGAGUGGAAGACACUCUGGAGUGGCAGCCAGAAUAAAGAGUGACGCCAAACAUGCAGUUUACGUACACUGCAAUGCACAUUGUUUGAACUUGGUGCUUGUUGACACUGUGAAGGCAGUCCCAGAGGCUGACUGCUUUUUUGCACUGUUGCAGAAACUGUAUGUGUACAUGUCUGGAUCAUAUGUUCGUCAUAAAUGGCUGGAUGUGCAAAAGGAAAUGUAUGAAGGUCCACCACCGGAGUUACAGAAGCUAAGUGACACUAGAUGGGCAUGUAGAUACCUGGCCUGCAGAAAUCUAAUGGACCGAUUACCUGCUGUGCUUCGUGUUCUGCAUGACAUUACAACUGAAAAUAGUGGGGAAAGAUCCAUAGAUGCUCGAGGUUUGCUGACUCAGCGAGACUUAAGCUUCAUCAGUCUUCUUGCAACUUUUCGAAGGCUCCUUGGGGAUGCAAAAGUCCUGUCUGACAUGCUCCAGUCUCCUUCACUUGACCUUGCCAUGGCAGUGGAUUUAGUCAAUGCACUCAAAGACUCUCUUCAGGAGUACAGAAGUGAGACAUUUGCUGAUAAUCUGUGGGGAAGCAUUGUAGAAACUGCCACAGAGUGCAGUAUAGCCAUUCAAAGUACAGAGAAAAAGAGGUCUCAAACAGUUAGUUCCAGACUUGGUGGGUUUGUAAUAGCCUCUACAUGGGGUCAGCGCAAAUGCAUGGAGGGAGACAAGGAUGCAGACAAGGAUGCCUUCAGGAGAACAAUCUUCUACCCUAUUGUGGACACCAUACUUGGAGAGUUAGACAGACGCUUCUCAAAAGACAAUUGUGACAUCAUGAGAGGAAUACAAGCUCUGGACCCCAAAAGCAAAACUUUUCUUCAAGAGGCAGCAGUCUUUCGCUUGGGAGAAAUUUAUGCAAGUGAUUCUGAAGAUCUGGGUCAUGAACUCCACCAAACAAGAAGGCUUUUGCAAAGGAAACAACAAAGUGGCAUGCCGAAUUUGUCUAGUAUUGUUAGUAUUACAGCUCUUUCCUGUAGAUAUGUUAUUAUUAGAGGUUAGAAUGGUUCACAUCAUGUUUUAACUGACCAACAAUAUGCAACACACUGACAAGACAGCUUACCUGAUUUUCAGUAUGUGGAAUCUGAAAAUCCUCAUGCUCUGGCCUCGACAUUUCAUUUGAGAUGACAGGUGUGUUGACUUCACUGUUGGUUCUUUGCAUUCCUCGUGUUUGCGUGGCACAGUCCAAAAAAAUUGGUGUGUCAACAUGUUCACCUCCAACAUGAGGUAGGUCAGAUGUAGGUGUCCUCAUCCAUCCAGUGCGUGGGUGGCCAGUCGCAAAAUACAAGGUAUGUGUGCGUCUGAUAUGGUCGUAAAAGGAGUUAAAGACUCUGUAUUCCUCGGUGCAGCCAUCAAUUCCACAAAUAACACGGAAAUCUGGAUUGUGACUGUGCGCUAUGUUAAUAUGGCUCAAUAGAGACUUCAAUGUUAAGGCAACAAAAACCAAACAAAUCACACACCUCCAACAGGCCAUGGUGUUUCCGCCAAGAAAGAACCUCAGUGUCGGCUGAUAAGUGAGAGAGGAUCUUUAAGCUAAUGAAAAUCUCUACUGAGCUCAAAAGCAAAUCUUGCUAGCUUAGCGACACAAAUAUUAAUAAGACUGUAUUUGAAAAGCCCAGACAGCACAAGUUAAUCAAAAGUUGAAGACACCUAAUGCACGUACCGGACGAUUCAAACCGCACCAUUCAACUUCCUGAUAUGUGGUUGGCGGGCUCAUAGGUCAAUACCAAAUCAGGAGUGUGGUGGGGGAGGGUAUUUAUACUAUAUAACAGGCUCCUUAGUAACGCAAUGCAAAAGGAACAAAUGCAGGUUUGGCAGUCAACGUAUAAUUUAUAGCUAUAAUAUCUGCCCACUAUAGCUACAUAUUGUAGCGGCGGCAGGCGCCGCUGGGGGCCGCCAUAUUGUUGUACUGUGUGUUUGGUGCCGCAAGGCAUCAUGGGAGGGAAUUGUUCGGGCCGUUUCAUGCCGUAUUUUGUGUUUAAAUGUACUUUGUUUCGUUCCACAUGUGUUAAGUAAUUGUUUUUCUAUGUGUUGAUGCCAUUUUAUGUUAAGCUAUGUCGGACCAGGAAUAAGAAGGGUUGGUGUGAGAGUGACCUGGCCUGCCUGUUAGCUGAGUAGAGGCAGAGGCAAGUGCUUAGUUGUUGUAACAAUAAAACUUUGGCGUGUUGAAAUCAAUGAGCGGUGUCCUUCUGCGUGCCGUUGCUUUACCGGCUGGCAUCGCAAGCCUCCUCUCGUGGCUAACUUUGCUGCUAAGGAGCACUGCUGCUUCGCGGCUGCGGAGGAGAUCGCAGCUGAAGCAUCAACGCCGAGCAUCGCGGUGAACAACGCAGACGAAACGACGUCGACAUGGAGAGGGUCGCAGCUGAGCCACACCGUCGCUGCGUGUCGCAUCGCCAUCGCAGCCACCAUUGCCGCACCCGCCCAUAGCUCAGUUGUUAUAACAAUAGAGUUGCGGUGUGCUGGAACCUAAAGAGCAGACACAUUCCUCCUCACGUCGCCGCCCCACCGUUACAAUAUUAUUUUUUAUAUAUACAUUUAACACAGACUGACAUGUUUUGCGUGAGCCCCCCUCCCCCCUCCAUCACUGCGCUCAUGUGGUCACGUCUGCUCGAUCUGUUGGAAGGAGGGAACAGCCGGUUUAAACUGGAUCUGGAUGUUGCGCCUGGACUGUAUGGUAAAGGAGCAACUUACAGGACCACAAAAGAUUACCAUGGAUGGCUUGGAUGACGACACAUUAUCCACUCUAAAUGCUGCCAACAUUGAUGAGGCUUUGCUCCACACCCUCAGUCGUGAUGAUUUGAAAGACUUGUUUCCUGGGCCAGAGAACUUUCUCAGGAGGAAACAACUGUGGGGUCUUAUAAGUCAAGAGGAUGAGAAUUCCACCUCACCAGACAAAGCAGACCCUGGUGAAACAGGAAUUGUUUCCCCACCUCAAGGAGCACCUCCAAUCUCCCCCCAGGUGUCUACUCCUUUGGUGAAGAGAAAUCCACAGAAGACCCUGCAGCUCCCCAGUCCUCCAGAAUGUGUGCUCUAUACAGACAGCGAGUUGGAACUAGCUCGCAAGCACUAUUUUGAGAUGGCCCGCAUUGGUAGAGAGGAGGAAUCUACCAUGUCCAAAGAGCUGAGGUGCAGGCUAGUGAGGAACACCAUCACCAGCAUGAUUUCUAUCUUGAGAGCAAGUCAGCAAGGAGAAGAGCUCCGCUACCCUUGCAAGCAUGAAGUUACUGCCAUGGCUAAGAGACUAGUGGAGUAUUAUCCCAUGCUACAGGAUAAAGUUGGACCCUUGAAACAUAUGAGCAUGUACAAUUAUCUUCAGAAGAGGAUGCUGAAUGUGAAGUCCCCACAAAGAGGCAGGGGCCAACCCCACAAAGAGGCCGUCCAAACAAAAGGGGCCGUGUCGACUUCUCACCAAAUGACCAGGAAGCAGAGCGUGAUGCAGACUCAAGUGGUGGAUCAACUAUUCUUUUGCCACCUGAGAGCAGCUCUGAUCGUGACAGUUCAUCGGAAAUGGACAGCCUGGCAACACAGGCCAGGCAUUACAAGACUCUGCAGGAGAUGUAUAAAAAACCAAAACCAAACCAAGAUGCUGUCUGCCAAAUCCUUGACCUUGAGUUUCAGGCAAGAAGAGCCUUCAUUGACACUGAUCUCCUGAAAGAAGAGGACAAGGCUACAAAGAUUUUGGAGGUGAUGGAUGAGCUGCGACGGAUCCUGGACAUGGGAAACAGCAAAUUCAUAGCUGAAGUAAAGGAAAGAUGUGAGGAGUUCUACUCCAUGGUGCAGUUUUAUGGUGUUUGGAAGAAGGUGUUGAAGCCACCCAUGAACCUGGGUGGAGUGGAUUACUACAUUGCGCUGUUCAGAGCACUCCCCACGCUCUUCCCAUCUCCAACUGCACCCCCGAAAAAACUGGGACAUGCCAAUGAGGCAUUGCUUCUCGUCCUUGAGAAGAUCCUGCCAUCUAUCUCCAGAAGAGGUCUUUCCCCAGCCCUCUGUUGUUGUUUGAUGGGUCUCGCUGUCUUGUGGCAAUUGGAACAACUCCCAUCACCACCUUUGCCAAAGAAGACCUUGGUCACGGUCUGCUUUAUCUGCUGGCUUUUUACUACACCCUGCAUCAUACCUAUCCGAAGUGUGUGGCAACCCUUCUGUCUGUGUUUCAGACAGAAGUGUUGAAGGACAAUAUCCAUGACCGCGACACCACAGGGUCAUACAAAAGAGCCAUAGCCGAGUGGAAGGGAUUUACUGAGAAGUAGAGCUGCUCAGGCUGGGGGUAAAUGCCUUGUUGAUGUUGUUGAAAACCUAUGCCCAAAUGUUCAUUGUGGUUAUAAACAUGUUUGUACUGCUGGGAGCCAUACAAAAUAAUACACAGCUCUACCACUGUAAGAUGAAGGGAGACUUACCAGUUAAAUGAUGAUGAACAGAGUGAUGUGCCAUGUUGCUUGAAUUACCUUCAGAUUAUUUCUAAACUUCUGUGGAUGUUGUAAAUGUUUAAUGUUAUACACAUUGUGCGUUCAUACGAAAUGCUUCAGUUCUUUGUUUUGAGAAGCAAAAAGUAAUCUUUGCUAGCACUGUAUGGAUGAAGCCAUAAUUGAGGAAUAAUUCAAAUAAAUGUUAUUGCCAGUGCCAAUUCUGUGUGCUUUCAUUUAGCAUAUGUGCUUUUUCUCAUUUUGAGCUAGAAAAGCUAAUGAGGAAUAAUAAUCUUGUUUAGUUGCUCUAGUUUUAAAAUAUAUUCACUUAAAUUGAGUAAGAAACAAGCAGUCAAAGAAAUUGACAAACUAGUUUUGAGUUUAUUUUACUUAAAGGUAUAAUACACAAUUUUGAUUUCCGGGUGGAUCA
RNA transcript from Salarias fasciatus (jewelled blenny), 5876 nucleotides. RefSeq lists it as uncharacterized. The transcript is spliced from 9 exons. The record is from RefSeq and is a predicted model, not a curated record. NCBI's taxonomy places the organism in Eukaryota, Metazoa, Chordata, Actinopteri, Blenniiformes, Blenniidae.